This 77-nucleotide transfer RNA is filed under the name Candidatus Gracilibacteria bacterium CG17_big_fil_post_rev_8_21_14_2_50_48_13. RNAcentral describes it as "tRNA-Arg". It matches the Rfam family "tRNA". Rfam says of the family: Transfer RNA (tRNA) molecules are approximately 80 nucleotides in length. Lineage: Bacteria; Candidatus Altimarinota. The record is from RNAcentral.
GCACCCGUAGCUCAGCUGGAUAGAGCGUUGGUUUGCGGAACCAAAGGUCACAGGUUCGAACCCUGUCGGGUGUACCA